ACAGUUUACUGGUCACCUGCACUAACAGCCUGAGAGAAAAGGACACUGCAUAUCACAGAGAGAUGCAUAGAUGUUACACUCAGAAAGAGAGUGAACAACUAGAAGAUGUGGAAGAACCAGUUUGGCUCUGGAGUCAAGAAUUCUCAAAACAGCUUUCUGAACCUGAAUCGCACGCAGUAAAGCUGGUGUUCUCCUGAAGCCAACAUUUAUGGUAUCACCUUGCUGAUCCAGGCAAAAUGGCAAAAGUGUAGUGAACAUAAAGCCAGGGGCUGAGAUUGUGGAUGUCCUCUGUACCAAGUUUCUUAUUAUGAAAAUUCCAAGGGCCAAUUUUGAAACAAACCAGGCAGAGACCCAGAUGCAGAAUCCUGCAGGCUGAGGGAUGUUAGGAAGAGUUAGCCCACCACUGCUGCGCUGAAACCAGGAUGACGCAAACUGGGCCUCAGGCCAGUAGAUCAAUAAACCAAACUCCCUGUCACCUCAGACUCUGCACCUGUUAAAGCCCUGUAAAGAGCCGACAUGCUUAGAAUAUAAACUGACACCUUGAAGAAGUGACCAUCUUGUAAUCAACACUUUAUUCUAAGGAUAACAGAGAUAAAUGAUAUAAGGAUCUCUGUUUCUUAAUGGCAUUGUUGAGCCCUAAACUUUCUACUGCUAGAUAUUUUAUCGCAUGAAAUAAAUAAGCCUUAGUUGCUUAAAAUAUUUUUCAGGGAUUUCUAUUUUGGUAGGCAAGUAUAUUGUUAACUUAUACAAUGCACAGUUGUAUAAGUUAUGUGGACAUGGAAUUAUGCACAAAACAGAAUCUAAAUGGUGGAAUUGGAAAUGCAAUAGGUAGGGUAUAUCAGGAAAUGAGAAUCCUGCCACUAUAGGCUAGAACGUUG
Molecule: long non-coding RNA, 878 nt
Filed under: Homo sapiens (human)
Lineage: Eukaryota; Metazoa; Chordata; Mammalia; Primates; Hominidae
Description: HSALNT0293187
Source: RNAcentral